Molecule: unclassified non-coding RNA, 291 nt
Filed under: Hevea brasiliensis (rubber tree)
Lineage: Eukaryota; Viridiplantae; Streptophyta; Magnoliopsida; Malpighiales; Euphorbiaceae
Source: RNAcentral
ACAUGCAUAUAAAGAACAUACUCAUAUCAUCGGCCACUCCGGGAGUCAGUUGGAGGAGUUUUUCUUGCCCCUGCCCAAGAUGGCAUCCUUAGCAGACUUUAUUGUAUUUGUCACAGCAGCAGUCGUUCUACCCAAUAGUCCAUCUCCGGUGCCAGAUUCCCUGUUCUUGCGAGUAAGAUGAACCACCCCAACUUUCUCCUUUGUGGGUUCGUCAUGCCCUGCUGGUGAUCGGUAAUCUUCUGUUUCCACCUUUGUUUCUAUUGCUUCUUCGUUUACCCUUUCAGUUCCUUG